CAACAAAAAAACCUGUUCAGACUCAGAAUAGACUUAUUCCUAGUCUUAGUACUACCUGUAUCCACACUGCUGUUAUUGCUGGUGAUUGUGUUGUUGUUCUGUGUUGUGAGUUUGUGCCACAACUCUGACUGGGCCAGUUGACGGUUGAUGCUCUUGUCCAGCUCCUGACUGUCAGCACCGACGAAGAGGUACAUAUAGACCAGCCAGUCCCCCCUGUGCCUGUCUAAUUUCAAGAUCUGAAAUGAGGGAAGAAAGGGAGAAAAAAACGUGGCCUUACUUGUGCUCUACAAGACUGAGAGCUGUUGACGGUGGAGAACACUGGAGUACACUGAACUGAACCAGCUUGAGAUGAUGUGUGCUUCGUGACACGGAUUUAUGGAUACUCAUUAGUCCUCAGAGCCCAGGACAGCCUCCUUCACCCACAGAACGGCCUCAGGUCUCCAGUCUCCCUCUGGAACUGUGAGGUCAGCCAGGCGACAUUUGAUAGCCUGGAGGGAGCAACGACACACACACACACACACACACACACAAAAGAUGAACCUAUAUGUGUGUGUUACAACUACUUUAUCCAGGGUUCAUAGACAUUACAAAAUUAAAAACGACUUUCAAGUACUUUAAGCUUUUCCAUUUUUUCCAAAAAUACUACACACUGUAGUCUCACUCAGUGUCCUACCCACAGCAAUAUCUGACUGGUUGCACAUCACAAGUGAUAGCCUAUCAACACUGAAGGCUGACAAACAGUAGUCUCACAGUUUGAAAUCUCAGCACUUUACAAUCCUCUGGAAAUGUCUUAAUGCACAGUAGAUGCCUGAACCCUAACAACUGUAUGCCCCUCACUUCAAGGACAUGCCUUACCUGAAACAAUGCAUUAUGGAGAGAAGCUUUAAAUCAGCGAACAGAGGAAAAGAUGCUUCUCCAACCAUUUGCUUGGUAGAAGAUUAAGGUGGAUUAACUCCCACAACACACACUAAAACAACUGACCUGUGGUGGGAUGAUGGUGAAGUCUUUGAGGAAAGGAGGGGGGAUCUCUCGGAGAUCAGUGACCUCUACAGUUGCUGGGAGACCCAAGUCUAUGAAGAGGAUCUCCAUCACUCGGUUGCCGUACAUGUUGGUGAUCUGAAAACAAGCAGAGCAACACGUGAGUGGCUGCCAAAGAAAUAUGACCUCAAACUGUCAUAUUUGAAACUGUAACAAUAUGCUAUCCCAGUACUCUCAAUGUCUAAAAUAACUGUUAGCUUUUUAAUUUAAGCCUUUAAAAAAAUAGAUUUGAAUGAUUCUGUUCUUACCUCCACUCUGGACCACUUUCCUUUGUAACGGGCAAGAUAGAACUUGCCACUGAAGGGUCUGGAGACCAGAGACUCGGAUGUCAUCUGGUAGGUAAAACACAAUUAUAAAGACCAUCUGUCUUUCCACAGACGAUUUUUGGAGUUGUGUAUGAACAAAUGCAUCAAACAUGAAGUGAUGUAGAAAAUGUGUUAGGAAUCAGAGGGUUUUUAACUUUGACCCCAGCCAGGGACGUCUGCUGACG
This is a long non-coding RNA of Morone saxatilis (striped sea-bass), 1528 nucleotides long. RefSeq lists it as uncharacterized. NCBI's taxonomy places the organism in Eukaryota, Metazoa, Chordata, Actinopteri, Moronidae. The transcript is spliced from 3 exons. The record is from RefSeq and is a predicted model, not a curated record.